GAUGAACGCUGGCGGCAUGCCUAAUACAUGCAAGUCGAACGAACAGACGAGGAACUUUCUCCUUUGACGUUAGCGUCGGACGGGUGAGUAAAACGUGGGUAACCCACCUAUAAGACUGGGAUUACUUACUGAAACCGGAGCCAAUACCCGAUAAUAGUCUCAACCCCAAGGUUGAAGAGUUAAAGACCGUUUUGCUUUCACUGAUCGAAGGAUCCGCACCGCAUUAGCUAGUUGGUCAGGUAACGGCUUACCAAGGCAACGAUGCGUAGCCGACCUGAGAGGGUGACCAGCCACACUGGAACUGAGACACGGUCCAGACUCCUACGGGAGGCAGCAGUGGGGAAUCUUGCGCAAUGGGCGAAAGCCUGACGGAGCCACGCCGCGUGAAUGAUGAAGGUCUUCGGAUCGUAAAAUUCUUUCAUCAGGGAAGAACAAAUGUAUAAGUACCUAUGCACUUCUUGACGUUACCUACAGAAGAAGCCACGGCUAACUACGUG
RNAcentral lists this ribosomal RNA (497 nucleotides) under uncultured bacterium. RNAcentral's name for it is "partial 16S ribosomal RNA". It matches the Rfam family "Bacterial small subunit ribosomal RNA", at positions 28 to 507 of the family's 1533-position model. The record is from RNAcentral.